RNAcentral lists this ribosomal RNA (253 nucleotides) under uncultured bacterium. Its description in RNAcentral is "partial 16S ribosomal RNA". It matches the Rfam family "Bacterial small subunit ribosomal RNA", at positions 524 to 776 of the family's 1533-position model. The record is from RNAcentral.
UACGUAGGGUGCGAGCGUUAAUCGGAAUUACUGGGCGUAAAGCGUGCGCAGGCGGUUUUGUAAGCCAGAUGUGAAAUCCCCGGGCUUAACCUGGGAAUGGCAUUUGGGACUGCAAGGCUUGAGUGCGGCAGAGGAGACUGGAAUUCCCGGUGUAGCAGUGAAAUGCGUAGAUAUCGGGAGGAACACCAGUGGCGCAGGCGGCGUCCUGGACCGGCACUGACGCUGAGGAGCGAAAGCGUGGGGAGCAAACAGG